This 468-nucleotide ribosomal RNA is filed under the name uncultured bacterium. RNAcentral's name for it is "partial 16S ribosomal RNA". It matches the Rfam family "Bacterial small subunit ribosomal RNA", at positions 28 to 507 of the family's 1533-position model. The record is from RNAcentral.
GAUGAACGCUGGCGGCGUGCUUAACACAUGCAAGUCGAACGGUGAAGGCGGAGCUUGCUCUGCUGGAUCAGUGGCGAACGGGUGAGUAACACGUGAGCAAUCUGCCCCUGACUCUGGGAUAAGCGCUGGAAACGGCGUCUAAUACUGGAUACGAGCUGCGAAGGCAUCUUCAGCAGCUGGAAAGAAGUUCGGUCAGGGAUGAGCUCGCGGCCUAUCAGCUUGUUGGUGAGGUAAUGGCUCACCAAGGCGUCGACGGGUAGCCGGCCUGAGAGGGUGACCGGCCACACUGGGACUGAGACACGGCCCAGACUCCUACGGGAGGCAGCAGUGGGGAAUAUUGCACAAUGGGCGAAAGCCUGAUGCAGCAACGCCGCGUGAGGGAAGACGGCCUUCGGGUUGUAAACCUCUUUUAGCAGGGAAGAAGCGAAAGUGACGGUACCUGCAGAAAAAGCGCCGGCUAACUACGUG